AUGUUGCAAAUUCAAGAAGGUAAGGAGGUGGAUGUUUCCAAUCAGAGAAAAGGAAAUUGUGGAAGAAAGCCUAAGGACAUUAACCUAGAAAAAGUCCUAACAAUCCCAUUGAACAAGAGGUCUACUAUUAGGUCACUAGCCUGGCAACUAGGAUGUAGCCCUACCACCCUACAUAGAAAGUUCAUGCUAAAUUUGAUAAGGAGGCAUACAAACUGUGUGAAGCCAGCUCUAAAGGAAAGAAUAAGAUGGACAGGAUAA
This 258-nucleotide ribosomal RNA is filed under the name Triticum aestivum (bread wheat). RNAcentral describes it as "partial small subunit ribosomal RNA". The record is from RNAcentral. Lineage: Eukaryota; Viridiplantae; Streptophyta; Magnoliopsida; Poales; Poaceae.